RNAcentral lists this ribosomal RNA (253 nucleotides) under uncultured bacterium. RNAcentral describes it as "partial 16S ribosomal RNA". It matches the Rfam family "Bacterial small subunit ribosomal RNA", at positions 524 to 776 of the family's 1533-position model. The record is from RNAcentral.
UAUGUAGGGGGCAAGCGUUGUCCGGAAUCAUUGGGCGUAAAGCGCGUGUAGGCGGCCAGAUAAGUCCGCUGUGAAAACUCGAGGCUCAACUUCGAGCUGUCGGUGGAAACUUUCUGGCUAGAGUCCGGAAGAGGAGAAUGGAAUUCCUGGUGUAGCGGUGAAAUGCGCAGAUAUCAGGAAGAACACCCGUGGCGAAGGCGGUUCUCUGGGGCGGUACUGACGCUGAGACGCGAAAGCGUGGGGAGCGAACAGG